Molecule: transfer RNA, 73 nt
Filed under: Chlorobiota bacterium
Lineage: Bacteria; Pseudomonadati; Chlorobiota
Description: tRNA-Trp
Rfam family: tRNA
About the family: Transfer RNA (tRNA) molecules are approximately 80 nucleotides in length. Their secondary structure includes four short double-helical elements and three loops (D, anti-codon, and T loops).
Source: RNAcentral
ACGGGUGUAGCUCAAUUGGUAGAGCAACGGUCUCCAAAACCGUAGGUUGCGGGUUCAAGUCCUGCCACCCGUG